This 385-nucleotide long non-coding RNA is filed under the name Brassica napus (rape). Its description in RNAcentral is "long non-coding RNA (BNAP_LNC009421)". The record is from RNAcentral. Lineage: Eukaryota; Viridiplantae; Streptophyta; Magnoliopsida; Brassicales; Brassicaceae.
CCUUCCGUAAAGUGUAUCAUUCCAUACGGUCAAUGUACUCCUGCGGAUCCCCCCGGUGAAACAUGCAAUGAGAGAUGACUUAAGUCGGAGAGAAUACAUACGGAAGGCGGCCAGUGCAUCACUAAUCCGGGGUAUUGUAUGUGCUGCUAUGAUUUCGGCGUUUAAAAAAGAAAGCAUGAUCAGAUUUCAGAAGAUAGAGAACGACGUCACUUUGUGUGAGUGUGUGUGGAGGUGUUGCAGUUUGAUACUUAAGUGUUUUGUAUUCUACUUUGUUAUACCUUUGAUUUGUGUUCUGUUUGUUUUAUGGUGAUCAAGUUUCAUAUAAUAAAGUUUUUUUUUAACACUGAAUUCAAUAAACUUUCAAAUGGAACCUCUAUUUCAGGAC